RNAcentral lists this ribosomal RNA (452 nucleotides) under uncultured Anaerolineaceae bacterium. RNAcentral's name for it is "bacterial SSU rRNA". It matches the Rfam family "Bacterial small subunit ribosomal RNA", at positions 916 to 1381 of the family's 1533-position model. The record is from RNAcentral. Lineage: Bacteria; Bacillati; Chloroflexota; Anaerolineae; Anaerolineales; Anaerolineaceae.
ACGGGACCCGCACAAGCAGCGGAGCGUGUGGUUUAAUUCGUUGCUACACGAAGAACCUUACCUGGGUUUGACAUAUAAGUUGUAGGGAACUGAAAAGGGACCGACCUUCGGGAGCUUAUACAGGUGUUGCAUGGCUGUCGUCAGCUCGUGUCGUGAGAUGUUCGGUUAAGUCCGCUAACGAGCGCAACCCUCGCCGUAUGUUACAAGUGUCAUACGGGACUGCCGGUAAAAGCCGGAGGAAGGUGAGGAUGAUGUCAAGUCAGCAUGACCUUUAUAUCCAGGGCUACACACACGCUACAAUGGUCUGUACAAUUGGUUGCCAAGCCGCGAGGCGGAGCCAAUCCGUAAAGCAGGCCUCAGUUCAGAUUGCAGUCUGCAACUCGACUGCAUGAAGCCGGAGUUGCUAGUAACCGCAGGUCAGCAAUACUGCGGUGAAUACGUUCCCGGGUCUU